GGUCCAUGAGAACAGAACUACCCCUCCUCUCAGGUCCAUGAGAACAGAACUACCCCUCCUCUCAGGUCCAUGAGAAGAACAGAACUACCCCUCCUCUCAGGUCCAUGAGAACAGAACUACCCCUCCUCUCAGGUCCAUGAGAAGAACAGAACUACCCCUCCUCUCAGGUCCAUGAGAAGAACAGAACUACCCCUCCUCUCAGGUCCAUGAGAACAGAACUACCCCUCCUCUCAGGUCCAUGAGAAGAACAGAACUACCCCUCCUCUCAGGUCCAUGAGAAUAACUGAACUACCCCUCCUCUCAGGUCCAUGAGAAGAACAGAACUACCCCUCCUCUCAGGUCCAUGAGAAGAACUGAACUACCCCUCCUCUCAGGUCCAUGAGAACAGAACUACCCCUCCUCUCAGGUCCAUGAGAAGAACAGGAGACAGAAAGAGACAGACUGGGAACAUUACAUGUCCAGGCUUUGACUGACAGAGGACUGGAAGGGACCCGUUGGGACUAACUCGUUAUCAUGCUAUUGAAGGACAACAACAGCCUUGACUGCCACCAAUAAAUAUAACAAUAUUUUUUAUUUAUUUACAAUAAACUUUUGAAAUAAUUAUAUACACAUCCGGCAACAUUGGAGUACCAGAUGAGGACCGGGGAAGAGACAGAACCAGAACCAGAACCAGGAGACAAUAACAGAAGGACGUCGCCGCCCCAAACCCACACCGAGACAAAGAACAUAAUUUUCCCGUCUAACACAGGAACAAUGAGGAGUGGAGACAUCACUCUGCAGGUGCCAGCAGG
RNAcentral lists this long non-coding RNA (791 nucleotides) under Salmo salar (Atlantic salmon). RNAcentral's name for it is "lncRNA (ENSSSAG00000122226.1)". Lineage: Eukaryota; Metazoa; Chordata; Actinopteri; Salmoniformes; Salmonidae. The record is from RNAcentral.